CCCAGGAGGUCUUGGAGUUUGCCUACAUGGCCCUAGCACUCAGCAUCACUCUGGGGGACCGGCUGAACGAACGCGUGGACUACCACCGGCUGGCAGCCCUGCACCACCGGUUGGGCCAUGGCAAGCUGGCGGAGCACUUCUACCUCAAGGCCCUGUAGCUCUGCAACUUGCCCCUGGAGUUUGACGAGGAGACCCUCUACUACGUGAAGGUGUACCUGGUGCUCGGUGACAUCAUCUUCUACGACCUGAAGGACCCGUUUGAUGCAGCCGGGUACUACCAGCUGGCACUGGCAGCUGCCGUGGACCUGGGCAACAAGAAGGCACGGCUGAAGAUCUACACGUGGCCGGCCACCAUCUCCCACAACUUCCUCCUGGACCGCGAGAAGUCGAUCCUCUUCUACCAGAAGGCCAGGACCUUCGCCACAGAACUCAACAUCCGCAGGGUCAACCUACCUCCUCUGCCACUCUGCGGGUGGGCCCCCUGGUUGACCCUCAGC
Molecule: non-coding RNA, 497 nt
Organism: Macaca mulatta (Rhesus monkey)
Lineage: Eukaryota; Metazoa; Chordata; Mammalia; Primates; Cercopithecidae
Source: RefSeq, a predicted model, not a curated record